Molecule: ribosomal RNA, 643 nt
Filed under: uncultured bacterium
Lineage: Bacteria
Description: bacterial SSU rRNA
Rfam family: Bacterial small subunit ribosomal RNA
Source: RNAcentral
UCCCACCUGGGAAGUACGAUCGCGAGAUUGAAACUCAAAGGAAUUGGCGGGGGUCCGCACAAGCGGUGGAGCAGGUGGUUUAAUUCGAUGAUACGCGAGGAACCUUACCUGGGCUAGAAUGCUGGGAGACCGUGGGUGAAAGCUCACUUCGUAGCAAUACACUGCCAGUAAGGUGCUGCAUGGCUGUCGUCAGCUCGUGCCGUGAGGUGUUGGGUUAAGUCCCGCAACGAGCGCAACCCCCAUCCACUAGUUGCCAUCAGGUAACGCUGGGAACUCUAGUGAAACUGCCGUCGUAAGACGUGAGGAAGGAGGGGAUGAUGUCAAGUCAUCAUGGCCUUUAUGCCCAGGGCUACACACGUGCUACAAUGGAGUGGACAAAGGGCUGCAACAUAGCGAUAUGAAGCUAAUCCCAAAAACCACUUCUCAGUUCAGAUUGGAGUCUGCAACUCGACUCCAUGAAGCUGGAAUCGCUAGUAAUCGUAUAUCAGCAAUGAUACGGUGAAUACGUUCCCGGACCUUGCACACACCGCCCGCCAAGCCAUGGAAGCUGGGUGUACCUAAAGUCGGUAACCGUAAGGAGCCGCCUAGGGUAAAACUAGUGACUGGGGCUAAGUCGUAACAAGGUAACCGUAAAGGGCGAAUU